RNAcentral lists this long non-coding RNA (823 nucleotides) under Parus major (Great Tit). RNAcentral describes it as "lncRNA (ENSPMJG00000002147.1)". The record is from RNAcentral. Lineage: Eukaryota; Metazoa; Chordata; Aves; Passeriformes; Paridae.
AGGGAGAAGGAGGAAGAGGAUGAGGAAGGGAUCAGAACACCCCAAAAACACCCCCGGCGAGAUCUCCAGAGGAACAGCAGGAAGAGGACGACGAAGAAAACCCCAAAACCCCAACCCGCCUUGCCCAACCCCCCCGUCCGGGCACCGCGGGGACUCGCAGGCGCCACCGCCUCCACCUCGGAGCUGGGAAUUCCCAUCCCUCCCCAAAAUCCCGGGAUUCACCUGCGGGAGGCUGCUGGAAGCCUGGCUGCUGUUACACUUCUCCAGCUCCUUCUGCACCUUCAGCGCCAGCCCCUGGAGCUUCUCCUUGUCCUUGAGGGUGGCGUUGAGGGUGCGGCUGAGGUUGGCGUUGGUGGCACCCAGGGCGACAAUCCUGCGGUAGUGGCUCUGCACCUGCUCCUCCAGCAGCCUCAGGUAAAAACCGCAGUCGCGCUUGGGCAUCGCCUCCUUGGGCUCCAAACCGAAUUUGGCCAUGGCGAAGCUGCUCUUCUCCAUCCUCGCCCGGGCUCUGGCGGCCCCACCCCGCCCGGACCUCGCUUUUCAGGGGGGCCGCGUUGGGGCGGAGCUGCUCCCGAUGUUUAUAUCCCUGGAUUUAAUAUUUCCUCCCGUCGGCUCCUUCCUGCCGUGCCGGAUGCUCCCGGGGACCCGCAGGGUUAUCAGGGCACAGCUUCUGCUGGAGUUGGGAUUGUUGUUCCUGGAGAUGGGGGGAAAAAAUGGGGUUCCUUUUCUCCAUCCCACUUCGGGAAUUGUCUCCAACCCCAAAUUCCCACUCCCGGUGUGGGAAUUCGAUCCCUCUGGGUUAUCAGGGCACAGCUUCUGCUGG